This is a long non-coding RNA of Helianthus annuus (common sunflower), 465 nucleotides long. RefSeq lists it as uncharacterized. The transcript has 3 exons. The record is from RefSeq and is a predicted model, not a curated record. NCBI's taxonomy places the organism in Eukaryota, Viridiplantae, Streptophyta, Magnoliopsida, Asterales, Asteraceae.
AUUUGAGAGAGGUCUGAUCGAUCAAGAACACCCAGGGCGACACCCACACUUUUCAAACCCUAGUUCACAAGAAAAACUGUAAAUUGAAGGCCUAAAUCAAGCAAUAAUCGAAAUCUGAACAUGGAAUCGUGAUCACCUCGUCAAGGGGAUCAUAAGGCAAGGAAUCCGGAACGUCAAGUGGACACGCCGGAAGUGAUACACGCGGAAAAGGUGUGCUUUAAAGGUGACUAUGGUGGAUUUCCGGAUGGCGGUCAAGCAAUGUAGAAGAACCGAACACGUAUUUUGAAGCUUCCGCGUUAACUUAAGUUUGUUUAGAACAAUGAUUUUGAUGUGAAUGAAUUGACAAUCAUGUCCUAAGGUUUUAAACUAGUUGGUGGUGACUAGUAUAAGUUACUUUAAACUUCCGUUUUGUACUUUCAUGAUCAUGUAGUUAAUUUGAAAUGAAAACUUUUUGUAAAUUGGAAA